RNAcentral lists this ribosomal RNA (301 nucleotides) under uncultured bacterium. RNAcentral describes it as "partial 16S ribosomal RNA". It matches the Rfam family "Bacterial small subunit ribosomal RNA", at positions 509 to 807 of the family's 1533-position model. The record is from RNAcentral.
CAGCAGCCGCGGGAAUACGAAGGGGGCUAGCGUUGUUCGGAUUUACUGGGCGUAAAGCGCACGUAGGCGGAUCGAUCAGUCAGGGGUGAAAUCCCAGAGCUCAACUCUGGAACUGCCUUUGAUACUGUCGAUCUGGAGUAUGGAAGAGGUGAGUGGAAUUCCGAGUGUAGAGGUGAAAUUCGUAGAUAUUCGGAAGAACACCAGUGGCGAAGGCGGCUCACUGGACGCGUAUUGACGCUGAGGUACGAAAGCGUGGGGAGCAAACAGGAUUAGAUACCCCGGUAGUCCCUGUCUCUUAUAC